GAUCAUGGCUCAGGAUGAACGCUGGCGGCGUGCCUAACACAUGCAAGUCGAGCGAUUCUCUUCGGAGAAGAGCGGCGGACGGGUGAGUAACGCGUGGGUAACCUGCCUCAUACACAUGGAUAACAUACCGAAGGGUAUGCUAAUACAGGAUAAUAUAAGAGAUUCACAUGGAUUUCUUAUCAAAGCUCCGGCGGUAUGAGAUGGACCCGCGUCUGAUUAGCUAGUUGGUAAGGUAACGGCUUACCAAGGCGACGAUCAGUAGCCGACCUGAGAGGGUGAUCGGCCACAUUGGAACUGAGACACGGUCCAAACUCCUACGGGAGGCAGCAGUGGGGAAUAUUGCACAAUGGGCGGAAGCCUGAUGCAAGCAACGCCGCGUGAGUGAUGAAGGCCUUCGGGUCGUAAAACUCUGUCCUCAAGGAAGAUAAUGACGGUACUUGAGGAGGAAGCCCCGGCUAACUACGUGCCAGCAGCAGC
RNAcentral lists this ribosomal RNA (477 nucleotides) under uncultured bacterium. RNAcentral describes it as "bacterial SSU rRNA". It matches the Rfam family "Bacterial small subunit ribosomal RNA", at positions 15 to 518 of the family's 1533-position model. The record is from RNAcentral.